GCCAGCAGCCAUAUCACCUUACAAUUCACAACCGGUAGCCCCACUGAAGCUCAGCAGGUGUGAGCCUGGUCAGUACCUGGAUGGGAGACCUCCUGGGAAAAACUAAGGUUGCUGCUGGAA
This 120-nucleotide ribosomal RNA is filed under the name Lepisosteus oculatus (spotted gar). The record is from RNAcentral. Lineage: Eukaryota; Metazoa; Chordata; Actinopteri; Semionotiformes; Lepisosteidae.